Molecule: ribosomal RNA, 253 nt
Filed under: uncultured bacterium
Lineage: Bacteria
Description: partial 16S ribosomal RNA
Rfam family: Bacterial small subunit ribosomal RNA
Source: RNAcentral
UACGGAGGGUGCAAGCGUUGUUCGGAAUCACUGGGCGUAAAGGGUGCGUAGGCGGUCGCGCAAGUCGGAUGUGAAAUCUCAGGGCUCAACCCUGAAACUGCAUUCGAUACUGCGUGGCUAGAGUGCUGGAGGGGAGACUGGAAUUUACGGUGUAGCAGUGAAAUGCGUAGAUAUCGUAAGGAAGACCAGUGGCGAAGGCGAGUCUCUGGACAGCAACUGACGCUGAGGCACGAAGGCCAGGGGAGCAAACGGG